RNAcentral lists this ribosomal RNA (489 nucleotides) under uncultured bacterium. RNAcentral's name for it is "bacterial SSU rRNA". It matches the Rfam family "Bacterial small subunit ribosomal RNA", at positions 501 to 989 of the family's 1533-position model. The record is from RNAcentral.
CUACGUGCCAGCAGCCGCGGUAAUACGUAGGUCCCGAGCGUUGUCCGGAUUUAUUGGGCGUAAAGCGAGCGCAGGCGGUUAGAUAAGUCUGAAGUUAAAGGCUGUGGCUUAACCAUAGUACGCUUUGGAAACUGUUUAACUUGAGUGCAAGAGGGGAGAGUGGAAUUCCAUGUGUAGCGGUGAAAUGCGUAGAUAUAUGGAGGAACACCGGUGGCGAAAGCGGCUCUCUGGCUUGUAACUGACGCUGAGGCUCGAAAGCGUGGGGAGCAAACGGGAUUAGAUACCCUGGUAGUCCACGCCGUAAACGAUGAGUGCUAGGUGUUAGACCCUUUCCGGGGUUUAGUGCCGCAGCUAACGCAUUAAGCACUCCGCCUGGGGAGUACGACCGCAAGGUUGAAACUCAAAGGAAUUGACGGGGGCCCGCACAAGCGGUGGAGCAUGUGGUUUAAUUCGAAGCAACGCGAAGAACCUUACCAGGUCUUGACAUCC